Molecule: ribosomal RNA, 957 nt
Filed under: Streptomyces sp. LK1114.5
Lineage: Bacteria; Bacillati; Actinomycetota; Actinomycetes; Kitasatosporales; Streptomycetaceae
Description: partial 16S ribosomal RNA
Rfam family: Bacterial small subunit ribosomal RNA
Source: RNAcentral
UCUUGCGGUNCGGGUCACUCUCNCUUAACAUGCAAGUACCAACGGUGAAGCCCUUCGGGGUGGAUCAGUGGCGAACGGGUGAGUAACACGUGGGCAAUCUGCCCUGCACUCUGGGACAAGCCCUGGAAACGGGGUCUAAUACCGGAUAUGACCNNGNUGCGCAUGCUGNUNGGUGGAAAGCUCCGGCGGUGCAGGAUGAGCCCGCGGCCUAUCAGCUUGUUGGUGGGGUAAUGGCCUACCAAGGCGACGACGGGUAGCCGGCCUGAGAGGGCGACCGGCCACACUGGGACUGAGACACGGCCCAGACUCCUACGGGAGGCAGCAGUGGGGAAUAUUGCACAAUGGGCGNAAGCCUGAUGCAGCGACGCCGCGUGAGGGAUGACGGCCUUCGGGUUGUAAACCUCUUUCAGCAGGGAAGAAGCGCAAGUGACGGUACCUGCAGAAGAAGCACCGGCUAACUACGUGCCAGCAGCCGCGGUAAUACGUAGGGUGCGAGCGUUGUCCGGAAUUAUUGGGCGUAAAGAGCUCGUAGGCGGCCUGUCGCGUCGGAUGUGAAAGCCCGGGGCUUAACCCCGGGUCUGCAUUCGAUACGGGCAGGCUAGAGUGUGGUAGGGGAGAUCGGAAUUCCUGGUGUAGCGGUGAAAUGCGCAGAUAUCAGGAGGAACACCGGUGGCGAAGGCGGAUCUCUGGGCCAUUACUGACGCUGAGGAGCGAAAGCGUGGGGAGCGAACAGGAUUAGAUACCCUGGUAGUCCACGCCGUAAACGUUGGGAACUAGGUGUUGGGCGACAUUCCACGUCGUCGGUGCCNCANCUAACGCAUUANUUNCCCGCCUGGGGAUACCGCCNCAGGGUAAAACUNAAGGAUUGNCGGGGGCCCCNNANCACCGGACNUGGGNNUUAUUCCCGCACCCGAAAACCNUNCANGGUUGNNUUUUNCGNAACGCUNNAANNUNCCC